UGGACAGGGCUCUGAGCACCCCAGUCUAGCUGAAAUAUUUUGGCUUAUUGCAGAGGUGGAUGUGUGUGAUUAAUGAUCUUUAGAAGUCCUUUCCAACUCAAAAUAGUCUAUAUUCUAAUGAAAAACUUCUGAGAUUACAGCUUAUCAGUACUUCUUUUAAAAAAGCAAGAAACCUUUUAGGACUGAUUGUUAUACAUGCCAGGAUCUGAGAGGAGAAAUGUUAUGAAAGAUAAUAAAUACACUGCUCCACUUUAUAUUUAGCUAACAUCUUGAUCUGGAGGAUUGGUUUUUUAAAUUAAGCAUGCAGAACCUUAAUUUCUCAUUUCUAGAAAACACGUGUUUCACAAGUAUUUAAUUUCUUAGUAAAGUAGCACUAUUGUAUUGCAGUGUCAAUGCCAUAUUGGGUUAAAACAUUGAUUCAAAAUUUUACAUAUCUGGUAUUUCUAAAUGUUCAAGUAAUUAUCUUUAUUGCUUCAGAAAUAAAUAUGGAAAUUAUCUAAGGCAGUACAAUUUUGCCAUUUUCUCUUUAAUGAUUAGGUGUAUUGAAAUUAUUUUCAUAUACUAGGCAGUCAAAAGAGUAUGUUUUUCAUUCAUUUCAGAUGUUGAAUAGAAAUUCUAAAUGGAUCAAUAACUGAUUAACCAAAAUCCUGAGAAUGCAGUUAGAUGAAACAAAAGUCUUUCUGUCAGUAACUUAUAAUGGCAUCUCACAAAUUGCAAUUAAGUUACUCUGAAACUCUCUAAGAAGUUUGUUUUUACUUUUUUCUCUCACUAGAAAAAAAAAAUAAAAACAAACACCCUUGAAAGCACUCUUUUAUUUUGCUGCAUGUGCAAGGUCACAAGAUUCAACUGGAAAGCAUCACAGUGGUGGAAAUGCUUAUUUUUUCUGGGCUACAGCAUGCUUGAGGAAAAUCCUAGCUUGCAUCUACCAAGUUUCUUUUUUGCUGUAAACUUUGCUCAGUAGAAACUGCAUGGCUUUGCUGAACUUAAAACUUCUCAGUUAGUAUAGAAAGGAAGGAAUUCCUGUAACUUCAUGAAGUUUUAAUAACAAUUGAGGUAGGUCUGGCCGUUCAGCUUGUUUAGUUUAGUUUUCUUUCUCUGCUACAGAGGUCAGAUAAAUUCAGUCUAACCCAGCCUGUGCCUGCAGCAACAGGUGAUGGUGCUUUGUGAGAUCACAACAGCCAGGCAACUUUCUGCUGUCCCAGCUACUUCUACUCUGCUCUUCACCUACCUCCAGCCAUAAUGAUCAUGUCAGAGGUGUUGUGGGGCAUGCAGUGAAGAUGAAACAGUACAAAUAACAGAUGAAGCUGUCUGGAGUUUAUUUGAAACUUUUCCUGCUUUGUUGCACAAAAAAAAUGUUGGUUUUUUAAAACAAGAUGAUGCAAAGCAAUCUUUCACUUGACCGUCAUAACCUCUAUUUCACCUCACUUAUCCACUUUUCUUUUUAGCUAAAUGUGUUGCGCUUACUUUUAUGGGGAAAAAAAAAAGAAAAUUAAAUAAUCCAGCCCUUUUCAUCUUUUCAUUAAUACUUGCAGAAAACAUUUCUCCAAUACAGCUUGGGCAAAAGCAAUGCAAGAAGAGAAGAACAUUUAGGUUGUCAGAAUUUAUGAAAAAAAGAAAAAGCAAGCAUGUGCCAGACUUUGAAGGUUGCCAUAUUUGUGCCAGGAAAGUUCUGGAAACCUAGAUUUUUUCCUUUGACCAUGACCCCAGUCCUCCUUGGCAGGCAGAGCAGUCAGGCUUCUGAAGUGCCCUUGGGACCCUGUCCAGAGUCACUGGUAGUGAAAAGAAGGCUUCCCCUGAGGCUCUGGGCACAGCCAGGGAAGCUGCCUGCCUCCUGUCAGGCUGCUCAGAGUGCACACCAGGACAGCCCAGCCAAGAGGGGAGAGCAGGGCCCUUGGCCACAUCGUUAGAGCACUGCAUCUGCUUUGGCUUCAAAAGAUGUUUGGAGAGCAUGUCCCUACUGGAAAUCAGUGGCAGGUUCCCAGGACUUCAGAAAGUUGUGCCCUAAUUAGUGCCAACCAAAGAAAAAAGACAAACACAGAGUAGCCCCAAAUAGGAAAGCACAGUAGAAUAUUCUAUUUUGUUCAAUUUGUUAAUUUUAUAUAAACUGCUAUAUUUCUAAUGUAAUAUUAAAUAAGCAUUGAGUUGUGACUGAAGGGUGUCCCAAUCCCAUUACUGAAGUGUUACUGAAUUUAGGAGGUGCUUCUAUCUCCUGAUCAUCCAGCAAGGAGAAUUUCUCAAGAAGAGUGUGUUUUCAGAGAACACAUCUGCAUCCUUAUGCAGCAAUGGGCAUCAGUUGAGGCCUAAACUGAGCAUUACAGUUACUCUUGGUUAAGUGACAAUGAGUCUUUGCUAACAGUGUUUAAUCCUUAGUUAACCACCUUAAAUUACAUUUUCUUUUCUGCAGCAGAUUAUGUACUAAGCAGAGAUCCAGGAUUUGUCCUCUCACUCUCUCAGUGAGCUGGAAUGUGUCCAAUGGAACCUGGAAGUGCUCCCCUCAUCAUAUGAUACCAUGAGUUGAAUGAAUUCAGCAGUUGCGUCCAAGCAGGAUGUGUUUCAGCAAUAUUGCUUGAAUAAUGUGCUGGGUAGAGAUUGGACUCUGCUCCCUUCAGCAAUGCAGCGCUGCAAGCCAUGACCUCAGUUGGAGAAAAAGGCUACUGGUACCUGUAAAAAUGUGCAAAAGAUGCUCAUAGAGAAAACAGACCUUUGGCUACCCUUGGCAACGGCAUGGGAUUAUGGAUUAGGAAUGGCAGUAACUGUCAAGUGUAAGAUACAAGUUGGUUUGGUGAGUACAGGUGCAUAAAAAAUGGCUAAGAAAUAGCUACACAGUGCCCCUGAGAGGAGCAGGACUAACUGAAUAUUUCUUAUUAUAUAUCAUACAAGAGGUAGAGCAAUUGAAUUAGUUUCCAAUAUGUUGUUUCAGUUCUGAAAUCUACUCCAUGCGAAAUGUAAAGGCAAAAACUUUAUCAAUUACUUUAAAGGGAUGGUGUUUUAAAUUAUUGUGUUUUUUAAAUUCCAUUUUAUUUAGUCAAUGUUCUUCAGGAUCUUUAUCUAUUUAUAAAAAAUUCAGUAUUUUUUAGUCCUUUUAUACCAGGUUUAUAGAGAGAAGUUAACCAUGAGCCCAUUCUGUUCCAGCCAAGUUACAUUUACAGGGGAGAAGCAGCAAGGGUCCCUGCUGAGCCAUGAUUUACAAUGUAAAUAGCAAAUGCCAAAGAUUAAGUGGUGGUUUUCCCUUGUUUGGUGCUUAAGGGAAGAAAUAGGGUUACUUCUCUGUUUAAUUUGGGCUAAGUAAUGCCACUCUCACAGUGUAUCAUUCUGUGCAAGUGCUUCAGCUCCUCAAGAUGGGCAUCUUGGGAACUGAGCAUUUCAGGAAUUAGUGUUUUAAGCAUGAUGCCCUUUCUAGUUGAGGGAAAUAACUUUUUCCUGUCCUUUUCUUACUCCAGACUGAAGAUUUUAGACGUCCUCAACAAAAAAAACACAAAAAAACAACCAAACAAACAAAAAAACCACCACCAACAACAAAAAACAUCUGGAAAGGUGAGGGAAUGUUGCCACUGAAAAUCUUUUCAGCUUGGCUGUGAGCAGCCUGGAUGACCAUAUAAAAUAGAACAACUUCUUAGAUGUUGAUUGCUGCAAUGUCUAAAAUGUAUUUUAACAUGAAGAUAAUAAUACUGAAUUUUAUCUGUGAGUAAAUUAUGCAGACACGAAAACCAGCAGAAAUCCUGAAGUAAACUUCCUUAAAUACAAUGAGUUGUCAAAUUUGCUCUGUAAAGAAAGCUGCUGACAGGGAGCUCAGAAAACCAGAAUAAUUCUAAGUACAUGCCCUGUGCAGAAAAAAACCAAUAUGCUGAGCCAGGCUCCAUGUUUUUGUUGCUGUCCUUUGAAUAACAACAAGCACUGCUUCACCAGCUUGGAGCAAUAUAUGAACAGGAUUAUUACUUUAGGAACAAUUCACUUUCAUAUGCUAAGGGAAUUAAAAUCUACUGUGAAUUUUCAGCAGCAGCAAGAGACAGAAAUUGAGGGCUGAGAGCUUUAAUCUGGGGGGCUGGAGAGCCAGCCCACAGAUGAAGUGGGGUUUAAAAGGAAAGCAGAAAGCAAGGUUAGGGUUAUGGCAAUUAUAGAUCAGGAAAAGAUUUGUAACAAAAUAUUUCUUCAAAUUAAAGUCAGUUGGGCAUUUUUCAGGUAAUAGUGUCAUACUGACUUGUUUCUGAACAAAGUGGAGCAUGUUGCCUUACUUUUUGAGACUUAUUGACUCUUGUGACUUGCAUGUGUUUGUUACCACCUAGUGGGAAUUCAGUCUCCAGGCACUGUACCAUCUGUUUGGGGAAAAGUGCCCUGUACCUGACUUUCAAUUUUAUAAAUGAAAAGUAAUACUUAGUAUUUGGGGAUCAUUUAGGAAAGCAAACAUGUCUGUAAAUACGAAUGAAUAUUUCUCCUAUCUGGUAACGAGGUGGUUUUAUUUUUUUAAUUUGAAAAUUACAUUGGAAUGUCAAAGAUUUUCAGUUGUCUUUCCCAGCUGCAGAAAAAAGAAGCCUAAAUUUUUCCUGGAAAUUAUAAUUGUGAGGGCUUUGUUAAAAUUAGUUGUAUUUCUGUCUUUGUUAACAAAUACCAUUUAUUGUUCACACUACUUAAUAGAAUCAUUAAUAUAUGCUAGUUUCUAGCUCUGCAUAUUAUCUACUCGGGCUGGGCAGUGGAGUUGUUAGAAAAGUUUGUGAUUUGUUUAUACAGGGUAGUUAGAAAUUGUUGGUGUAGCUUUUUAUCUUGUAUCUUCUGUACUUCAGCAUUUUUUCCCUCUGAAACCUUUAAUGUUAUAUAUAUUAAAAGAGUACAUAGCCUCUCAACAAAAAUUAGAAGUUCUAUUGUAUUAAGUACCUCCCAUCCAUACAGUAAGAGAUUAUCCUACUCUCAUCUGGAUGGACAAGACGGCAAGUCUGGUAUUUAGGUAAUGGUUUUAUUCCCAUUUAAAUUACUGACAAAGUUGCUCUUUUCUGUAUUUUUAUCUAUAGAAGUCUUUUAAUGAGGCUCAAGAAUUGUUACAUAAUUGGUGAGGAAACAGUUUAACAGGACAGUGCCAAAAUUUGGACCUGAAUCCAUUGGUUUAGGACCACAGUAGACAAGAUCAGCUCUGAACCCUAACUGGCUCAGUUUUUGGCCAGAAAUUUGAAUUCCAAGGUUAUCUUUCCUUUGCCAUUGAGUCUGGGGUGCUGUUUGUCUCUGGAUGGUGAUAAGAUAUGGAGGAGGGUAAGCCGGAGGAGAAGCGACCAGUUUGCAAUAUUCUAGUCAUGGAAAUUGGCUGGAAAACCAGGAAAUUCAACCACAUGGCAAUUCCUUCAGCCUGGUAAGCCCUUUCUGGUUUGAAAGCAGUUCUGUGUCAAUAUAUGUUGAUUGUUGGCCAAAUGCAAGCAUUAUUGCCAAGGGAAUGAGCUAAAGACUCUUGAAAAAUCAGUGUAAAAUAAAGUAAGAAUAUUAAACUCUUAAAGAAGAGACAGGGGGAAAGAGUGAGAAUGUUCAUGUGGGCUUUGGCAGUCAAUUUGCAUUACCAAUAGCACAGAAGCAGUUAGAAGAUCACAGAUUCACAGAAUCACU
Molecule: non-coding RNA, 5583 nt
Organism: Taeniopygia guttata (zebra finch)
Lineage: Eukaryota; Metazoa; Chordata; Aves; Passeriformes; Estrildidae
Source: RefSeq, a predicted model, not a curated record